AUUGAGCGCUUCAGGGUUUCUUUCGGUAUUGAUCUGAGAAGCUUUAGUUCUGUUGAUGAAUGGAUUUGUUUUGCCAUGAAAAAGGGAGUUCAAAUUCUUGAGUUGGAAUUCUUAGAUUAUGAUUCUUGCUGCUAUAAAUUAGUGCCCUAUAUACUUUGCCAAAAUGUUUUAGGUAUCAGAAAAGGUUCUGGUUUGAAUCCCUUGUCAUCUAAUAUAACAAGUAAACACCUUGAUUAUGUUGGAUAUACGUCCCUAAAAAUUCUUGAUCUGAAGUCGGUUGACGUGACCGGAAAUGUUCUAGAGGACAUUUUGUCCAACUGUCCCGCUCUUGAGCGGCUUUCCGUGUCUAAUUCCUCGAAGUUGUGAAGGUAUAAGGAUAGUUGGCAAUCCUUUUAUCCUGCAAAACACUUUGAGAUAAUGUUAUCUGAUCAAGAACAAGUGGCGCUAAUAUCCCUUAUGGUUUCAAGUAAAACAUGCAUCUGCAUAUCACUGUUUUUCACAGAGGUUAGCAGCUUCGCCUGCUAUCCUAGUACUGAGUCUUCUGCUGUCCUGAGUUUCAAAGUCUGUUAUAUUAGUUUAAUAAGUCUUUCAAAUUCAAAUGGACAACUGAGUUUGUGGGAAGUGCCUUAGCGCUCAAACCAGUCAAAGGGUUGAGAUCUUUUGUUAUGCCAACCCGUGACCAAAUGGUUUGAUGCUCAAGGCUCCAGCUGGGAUUUCAUGAUACGUUAUCCUAUGUAUAGCUGGUCCCUGUAUGGUUCAAAGACUAGUUACUAUUAGCUGUGUCAAGGUCCACUAAUGGACUGAGUAAGAGGGUUUCAAAUCUCUUUGCUCCCUGUUUUGAAUCGUUCAUGUUUUAGGAAAGGUGUCUUUGUCUUAUUGAGGUUGCUUGUGUCAACUCUCCAUCUGGUUACAUCACUUUCAGUAUGGGGAACCAAACACUUCUGUCCAAACCUUUCUGAAACAUGUUGAGGUCAGCCUGCAUCAUCUUUGAUGCCUUGUCUGCCUAUAUAUAUCUAUAGCUUUGGUUUUGCUCAGUGGUUGUGGAAAACUGUCUUAUUGCGUUUUCUUUGUUGAGUCUAGUUUUUAGCUUGCAUUGUUCAUGCUGCUCUAAGUCUUCUUCGUGACUGUAAACCUUAGAGCUUGAACUCAAAACUUCUUUCAUCAACUCAUAUCAUGUUGCAUACCAUGAGGGAUGUGUAGUGCAACCAACCCAAGAAGCGUUCAAGGUUGAAUCUGCUAGUGGUUAGCUGAAUUCACGAACAAAGCUUCGAAAAGUAUCCUAUGUUGUAAGAACUUAGAAACAAGAGAGGGAAUAGGUCUAGACUAGUUCGGGACUAGGAAGGAUAGCACUGUGGUAGUGUAUCACUAGAACUAUUAUUCUUGUAAGAAGUUACUUCAACUUAGUGGAAGUUUUUGUCUCUCAAGAGUUAGAGACACGCAGUUUUUCUCCCUGCAUUUAGGGUUUAUGCGAGUAAAAAACAUCCUUGUGUUGUUUCUUUAUUUGCUGCAAUUUACUUUCUGCAAACUCGUAUCCUGUGAUUCUGGGAUAGCACAAGUCAUUGCUAUCCUCGGAUACAAAAGACAACGAAAAUUUCAAAAAUGCAUAUUCCACCCCCCCCCCCCCCCCCCCCCACGGACCUUUAAGUUGCUAAAUCUAAGAGUCAUGAGUCCAUCAACUGCAUUCAAGUACUUGGUCAUACAGCGA
RNAcentral lists this long non-coding RNA (1705 nucleotides) under Fragaria vesca (wild strawberry). RNAcentral's name for it is "long non-coding RNA (FVES_LNC000218)". The record is from RNAcentral. Lineage: Eukaryota; Viridiplantae; Streptophyta; Magnoliopsida; Rosales; Rosaceae.